Molecule: ribosomal RNA, 253 nt
Filed under: uncultured bacterium
Lineage: Bacteria
Description: partial 16S ribosomal RNA
Rfam family: Bacterial small subunit ribosomal RNA
Source: RNAcentral
UACGAAGGGGGCUAGCGUUGUUCGGAAUUACUGGGCGUAAAGCGUGCGCAGGCGGUCUUCCAAGUCAGUGGUGAAAGCCCGGAGCUCAACUCCGGAACUGCCAUUGAAACUGUUAGACUCGAGUACGAGAGAGGUGAGUGGAAUUCCCAGUGUAGAGGUGAAAUUCGUAGAUAUUGGGAAGAACACCGGUGGCGAAGGCGGCUCACUGGCUCGUAACUGACGCUCAGGCACGACAGCGUGGGGAUCAAACAGG